CAUGUGGAUUUAAAAGCAACCGAGUUUUCUUGCAAUUCGGACGGGUCAAGUGAAUAAUUAAUUACGAAUUUAGCAUUUAGUUUCAACCCAAUCAAUAUACAUCUUGCUUUACCGAUUGCAAACGACAUCAAUUCCACUCCCGCGUUUUUUUUGCCAAGUUGAAACAGAGGCAGUGCGCAGACAAAGGUGACUGGAUUGAAGAGCGACAGAAAAAGUAGAGGCGAUUACGAAAAGUUUCCCCACACGCCACUGCACACCCCGCCCAUAACCUCUGACGAACAUCUACGCGAAAUAGAAAGCAAAAAGCGCAAUUAUGACUUCCGAUAUUACCAGGCAAUUGAUUGCUAUAUUGGAGAAGACGGUUUCGCCAGACAAAAAUGAACUUCUGUCGGCAAAGAACUUCUUGGAGCAGGCAGCCGAGUCGAACUUGCCAGAGUUCCUCAAGGCGCUGUCCGAAAUACUUGUCAACACGACCAACAGCGCCGUGGCACGUAUGGCAGCUGGUCUGCAAUUGAAGAACCACUUGACAAGCAAGGACGAGAAGAUCAGCCUGCAAUAUCAACAACGGUGGAACCAAUUUCCCGAAGAGACACGCGAGCUAAUCAAAAAUAAUAUACUCGUGGCUUUGGGCACUGAAAAUACGAGACCUUCUUGCGCUGCCCAAUGCGUCGCCUAUGUUGCCGUCAUAGAGUUGCCAAUUAACAGAUGGAACAUACUGAUACAGACGCUGGUCAGCAAAGUCGUGAACGAAGGCUCGAGCGAAAUGCACCGUGAGGCGGCGCUAGAGGCCAUCGGAUACAUUUGUCAAGAUAUAAGGUACGGCGUUCUCGAGAAUCAAUCGAACCAGGUCCUUACGGCCAUCAUUCAUGGCAUGCGAAAGCUGGAGCCGAGUAACCAUGUGCGGUUGGCCGCCACCACAGCUCUGCAUAAUUCGCUAGAGUUCACCAAAGCAAACUUUGAAAAGGACAUGGAGCGAAAUUUCAUUAUGGAGGUUGUUUGCGAGGCCACACAAUGUACGGACACGCAAAUUUGCGUUGCCGCAUUGCAGUGCCUGGUUAAGAUUAUGACCCUGUAUUAUCAGUUCAUGGAACCAUACAUGGCCCAAGCUCUGUUUCCUAUAACACUGGAAGCUAUGAAAUCCGAUAAUGAUGCCGUAGCUCUGCAGGGCAUUGAGUUCUGGUCGAACGUUAGCGACGAGGAAAUCGAUCUGGCUAUUGAAAGUCAGGAGGCUACGGAUCAAGGUCGUCCACCGCACCGUGUUUCAAAGCAUUAUGCACGUGGUGCUCUACAAUUUUUAACACCUGUGCUGGUGGAGAAAUUGACAAACCAGGAUGAGUGCGAUGAUGAGGACACUUGGAGUCCUGCCAAAGCCUCUUCGGUGUGCCUCAUGCUGUUGGCCACCUGUUGCGAAGAUGAGAUUGUACCGCAUGUCUUGCCAUUUAUCAAGGAGAAUAUUGAAUCGCCCAACUGGAGGUAUCGUGAUGCCGCCGUCAUGACAUUCGGUUCGGUGCUUAAUGGACUGGAAACAAACACGCUCAAACCCUUGGUGGAGCAGGCUAUGCCAACACUAAUUCGUUUGAUGUACGAUUCGAGCGUCAUAGUGCGCGACACAACCGCUUGGACAUUCGGACGUAUAUGCGAUAUUAUACCAGAAGCAGCCAUCAAUAAGACAUAUCUGCAGACGCUUCUAGAGUGCUUUGUCAAGAGUCUAAAAUCAGAGCCACGUGUGGCUGCCAAUGUUUGUUGGGCAUUCAUUGGCCUCUCUGAUGCUGCCUAUGAGGCUGCUGUAACCAACGAAGGCGAAACUCCGGAAACUUAUGCGCUAUCGCCGUACUUUGAAUUUAUUAUUACUCAACUGCUGGAGACCACCGAUCGCUCAGAUGGCGCUCAAGCCAAUUUGCGCAGUGCCGCCUACGAGGCGCUGAUGGACAUGAUCAAGAACUCGCCUCUGGAUUGCUAUCUUGUCGUGCAGCGCACUACAAUUGUCAUCUUGGAGCGCUUGAAUCAGGUGAUGCAAAUGGAAACGCACAUCAAUAACCACAGCGAUCGCCAUCAGUUCAAUGAUCUGCAAUCUCUGCUUUGUGCUACAUUGCAAAGCGUGCUGCGCAAGGUACGCGAAGAGGAUGCUCCUCAGAUCUCGGACGCCAUCAUGACCGCUUUGCUAACUAUGUUCAACUCGAGCGCUGGCAAAUCUGGUGGUGUACAAGAGGAUGCGUUCUUAGCCGUAUCGACACUGGUAGAGCUCCUCGGAAUCGGAUUCGCCAAAUACAUGCCCGCUUUUAAGGAUUACCUCAUCAUGGGUUUGAAAAAUCAUCAAGAGUACCAAGUUUGCUGUGCAGCUGUCGGCCUAACAGGCGAUAUUUGUCGCGCGUUGAAAUAUUUGGUCGUGCCCUACUGCGAUGAGAUCAUGUCUGUAAUGAUGAGCGAUUUGGCCGAGCCGACAUUGCACCGGAAUGUCAAGCCGCAGAUACUGUCAGCCUUCGGCGACAUGGCAUUGAGCAUUGGCACGGAGUUCGUCAAAUAUUUAAAUUUGGUCUUGGAAAUGCUACGGGCUGCUUCGCAACUUCAGGUCGACCCGUCCAGCUAUGACAUGAGUGAAUACAUAAAUGAGUUGCGGGAGAGCGUUCUCGAGGCCUACACUGGCAUUAUACAAGGCCUGAAGGGUGUAGAUCAAACGCCAAAUGAAGCAGUCUUGCUUAUGGAGUCGCAUCUUAUGCACAUUAUUAGCUUCAUCAAGCGCAUCGCCCAGGAGGGUGACGUUUCUGAUUCAAUGAUGGCUAGUGCAGCCGGCUUUAUUGGUGAUUUGUGCACUUCCUUUGGUCCUCGCCUCUAUCCUCUGCUAGACGAUACGGUCAUCACACAGUUCUUAGCCGAGGGCAAACGAUCAAAGGGACAACGUACUAAGAUGUUGUGUACCUGGGCUGCCAAAGAGAUCAAGAAAAUGAACAGCCAGGUCAUUACUCAGUAAAUUGAAAUUGGGUAGAAGAUGCCGUUCGAUGUGAGAAGCCAAAAUGAGACUAAGAUACAACAUUGUAAUUGCAAAGUUCUGAAGAAUGCUAAGAUCGAGGCCAAUGUAUGCUUGAGUGUGUGAUGUGAUGUGGUCUAUUCGAUGCCGCUUUUUAUUUGGAUUGGUUGGAUAUUCAAGCUUCUGACUAGACAUGACAAAUAAUUAUCGAGAUGUAUGUAUGAAUGAUAUAUUUGAUUUUAGAAAUUAUUGUGAACGUGUAUACCCAAGUAUUAUGAAAACUGUGUGCUUGAUUGAUGCCUUGACUGACUGACUGCCCGAUGAGUGUGUGAACUGAAACUCAAAUUUUCUUGUGAUUGAAGACUUGUAAAUACCCGAUAAUAUUUGAAAUUUCAUUUGCGCGCGUGUGUUGCGUGUUGUGUGAUAUUACCAAAUGUAAGCUUUUUCUAGUGAUGAAAUGCAAGUGAAUACAAAACGAAUGAAAUAUAGUUAUAAGUAACAAAACACUAGAGAAAAUGAAUAAUACAAAUGGAAUCGAAAUAGAUAAAAUGUUCAAGCAGUAAAAUCCAAAAAGGAAAAAGAUUUUAAACGGACUUAAAUUUAAAUAAAAUUAUAAACGAACGAAAAUAUUUAAAAACAACUUUGUGCACGACGGGAAUAGAGUUGAAAAUCAAGCACAUGACUGCAUAUACAAUACAUAACAUUAAAAAAUAAAACGAAUUAACGUAAAACAAAAUGACUUAGGGACGUACAAAGCGUGGACGUGCAUAAGUGUGGGCGUGCCAGUAAAACCAAAAGUUUACCAAUAGAUCCCAAAUACUUACCGUUUAUAUUACAAGAGAACCAACGAUAUACCGCAGAAACAUAUAGACCGAAAUCGAUUCCGAUAAUUGCCUUAAGAGUUCUUGUCUUCUUUGCACGCCCAUACAAUGCCCAUGCAAUACAUAUAAACAUAUUUAUUAUACAUUAAAACAACAAAUGACAUUUUAUUUAGCGAUUUAAGACAAGUUUUGUAGUGCCACAUGAAUACAGUGUUUUGUACAGGCGCGCAGAACAAAGAAAUUGAUAAGUUUCUCAUAGAAUUAUUUGAUCGUAUUAAUUCCAAAAAAUGACGCUUAGAAACCAAGCAAGCACUUUUUAUUCAACAUUAAUUUAUAUCAACUACAACAAAAAGCAAUAUGCAACAAAAUGAAUACAACAACCAAUGAACUACCUGCAGCAUAUAUAUACUAUACUGUAUUGUAUAUAUACACAUAUAUAUAGUGAAACAAACACGAAAACUAACGAGAAAACGGACCAGGGUAACACAAACGUACUUUACAUAGGAAUAGAACGCAUAAAGACCUACAUACUUACAUACAUAUACAUAGAUGACGUGCUGGGACUUUUUAGGACAACGCUACACUAGAGACUCUUUUUCUAUUAAACAAUUAAGGACAUACUACAUUGCAGUAUGCAUUGCAUCACGAUUUUGUCACACACACAUAUACUUACAUACAUGUACAUAUGUAUAACCAGAUCUACCUACAUAUUACAUCAUUAAAGACGUGACUACUACUAGCAGGAAGAAACUCUUUAAAUCAACCAAAUUGUAAUUAACCGUUUAAAAUCUUUUCAUUGUUCAUUGUACAUGAAUGCAUAACAACAUUAAAGGCAUAUUUCAGGUUUAUUCGGCAGCCACACCAAAGCUAUGGUCAGACAGGGCAAAUAAUUUGCACACAAAUUAGUCACAAUUACUUUUGAAAUUAAAAGAACUACUCUUAUUUUCUGAACGAUUAUUGUCGAUGACGAAUUAAAUCAAUGGUUAAAAUACAGAUUAUUUGCACACUCAUUUGUCGUAUCUAACUUCAAUUCUGGUUUCUUGAACAUGUACAUUUCAAAUAUGGCAGGAAUUUCUAUGCAAAUUGUUUGCCUUUCUGCUCGUGCGUUUACAAUUCAUCCCGGUGCUGGUAAGUUUUUUCGUACCGCAGAAAUGUAUAGGAGAUAUUCGGAAGGAUUAUUGUGACAAAUUUCAUUUUCCAACUUUAUGAUGCAACUAACAAUCCGGAAUGUUUCGUAUGCGAGGUUAGAAAACUUUUCCAAAACCUGAAAUAUGCUAAGUCUUACACUUAAGUAAUAAGUAAUGUAUGAGUGUAUUGAAUGAAGAGCGAAGUUAAAAUUAAGUUACGUAUUUGAUUUAAAAAAAACAUACCCAAGAAAUGUUAAAGCAGUAGCUAUUUCAUUGUUGUCGAUCUUAAACCACACCACUACACCAUUAGCAAUUAGAGGUUACAAAAAUAUCGCACAGCCGUCCAAAUAUCUAAAUUCAUAAAAACUUAUCCAGUUUAAUCCAUUCAUUUAAAUUAAAACAUAUCAAAACUCUGUGUGCUUUAAAUUGUUUUAAAAUUCAAAUACUUUUUUAAAAUCAAAUGCCUCAACAUUGAAAUCGCUACUGGUUCAUUUUGCUGUCACAUCUUUGAAUAUUUUGAAAC
Scaptodrosophila lebanonensis is the source of this 5436-nucleotide RNA transcript. It is a transcript of the gene named importin subunit beta, with no coding region annotated. The transcript is spliced from 8 exons. The record is from RefSeq and is a predicted model, not a curated record. NCBI's taxonomy places the organism in Eukaryota, Metazoa, Arthropoda, Insecta, Diptera, Drosophilidae.